UACGUAGGGUGCGAGCGUUAAUCGGAAUUACUGGGCGUAAAGCGUGCGCAGGCGGUUUUUUAAGCCAGAUGUGAAAUCCCCGGGCUUAACCUGGGAACUGCAUUUGGAACUGGAAGACUAGAGUACGUCAGAGGGGGGUAGAAUUCCACGUGUAGCAGUGAAAUGCGUAGAGAUGUGGAGGAAUACCGAUGGCGAAGGCAGCCCCCUGGGAUAACACUGACGCUCAUGUACGAAAGCGUGGGUAGCAAACAGG
RNAcentral lists this ribosomal RNA (253 nucleotides) under uncultured bacterium. RNAcentral describes it as "partial 16S ribosomal RNA". It matches the Rfam family "Bacterial small subunit ribosomal RNA", at positions 524 to 776 of the family's 1533-position model. The record is from RNAcentral.